CCUCUUUUAAGUGUUCAACAAUUUUGCUAAAGAAUAUGUGGGUUUUAACAGGUAAAGACAAUGAAAAUGAAUUUUGAUGAGCAUAUGCUGGUUGUGCCAAAAGUUUGGCUGUUUAUAUCCUGUCUGUUUAGAGCUGUACCUGCAUCAUUCUAAUGCAGACAUGCCCAGAGAAUGAAGGAGAAAUAAAGAGGAGGCAGAUAUUUUCUGGGCAAAAGGAACAGAAGCCAGCAGAAACAGGACUGUGAUUCCUAAUUAAUUCAAAGUUAAUUGCAUUGUUG
Molecule: long non-coding RNA, 278 nt
Filed under: Pan troglodytes (chimpanzee)
Lineage: Eukaryota; Metazoa; Chordata; Mammalia; Primates; Hominidae
Description: lncRNA (ENSPTRG00000052967.1)
Source: RNAcentral